This 253-nucleotide ribosomal RNA is filed under the name uncultured bacterium. RNAcentral describes it as "partial 16S ribosomal RNA". It matches the Rfam family "Bacterial small subunit ribosomal RNA", at positions 524 to 776 of the family's 1533-position model. The record is from RNAcentral.
UACGGAGGGUGCAAACGUUGCUCGGAAUCAUUGGGCGUAAAGCGCACGUAGGCGGCCUGUUAAGUCGGGUGUGAAAUCCCUCGGCUCAACCGAGGAAGUGCAUUCGAAACUGGCGGGCUUGAAUGUGGAAGAGGGUCGUGGAAUUCCCGGUGUAGAGGUGAAAUUCGUAGAUAUUCGCAAGAACACCAGUGGCGAAGGCGGCCGACUGGUCCGGUUCUGACGCUGAGGCGCGAAAGCGUGGGGAGCAAACAGG